RNAcentral lists this long non-coding RNA (608 nucleotides) under Mytilus galloprovincialis (Mediterranean mussel). Lineage: Eukaryota; Metazoa; Mollusca; Bivalvia; Mytilida; Mytilidae. The record is from RNAcentral.
AUUCAAUCAAAUUAACAUUACAUUAAUUCAAAUAGCAUCACACUCAUACAAUCAAAAUAGCAUAUUCAUUCAAAAUAGAAUUACACUCUAUCAAAAUAACAUCUUAUUCAAUUAAUGUUGAAUAACAUUAAAUCAAAAAAGCAUAACACUUAAGUUAGUUAAGAGCAUCACAUUCAAUUAAAAUUUAUUGACAGCAACCCAACAAUUACUUGUCAGAUUCAUAUAAAAUUCAUGGGCUGAAAAAUAAAUCUCAAUACCAUCACAUUCAUUAAAUAGUAUUGCAUUCAAUUAAAAUAUCAUCACAUUCAGUAGAUUAGUAUUGCAUUCAAGCUUAAUAUCAUCACAUUCAGUAGAAUAGUAUUACAUUCAAUUUAAAUCACAUUCAGUAGAAUAGUAUUGCAUUCAAGCUUAAUAUCAUCACAUUCAGUAGAAUAGUAUUACAUUCAAUUUAAAUCACAUUCAGUAGAAUAGUAUUGCAUUCAAUUAAAAUAUCAUUCACAUUCAGUAGAAUAGUAUUGCAUUCAAGCUUAAUAUCUUCACAUUCAGUAGAAAAGUAUUGCAUUCAAGCUUAAUAUCUUCACAUUCAGUAGAAUAGUAUUGCAUUCAAU